UGCGGUAUACUGAUGAGUCCCACGAGAACGAAACGCGUCUAUACCUGGU
RNAcentral lists this microRNA precursor (49 nucleotides) under Gyrodactylus salaris (gyrodactylosis fluke). RNAcentral describes it as "microRNA gsa-mir-9390 precursor". Lineage: Eukaryota; Metazoa; Platyhelminthes; Monogenea; Gyrodactylidea; Gyrodactylidae. The record is from miRBase by way of RNAcentral.